RNAcentral lists this transfer RNA (71 nucleotides) under Marmota monax (woodchuck). RNAcentral's name for it is "tRNA.Ala". It matches the Rfam family "tRNA". From Rfam's summary of the family: Transfer RNA (tRNA) molecules are approximately 80 nucleotides in length. Their secondary structure includes four short double-helical elements and three loops (D, anti-codon, and T loops). The record is from RNAcentral. Lineage: Eukaryota; Metazoa; Chordata; Mammalia; Rodentia; Sciuridae.
GGGGUUGUAGCUCAGUGGUAGAGCGCUUGCCUUGCAUGCAUGAGGCCCUGAGUUCGAUUCUCAGCACCACA